GAUGAACGCUGGCGGCGUGCCUAAUACAUGCAAGUCGAGCGAACGGACGAGAAGCUUGCUUUUCUGAUGUUAGCGGCGGACGGGUGAGUAACACGUGGAUAACCUACCUAUAAGACUGGGAUAACGUCGGGAAACCGGAGCUAAUACCGGAUAAUAUUGUGAACCGCAUGGUUCAAAAGUGAAAGACGGUCUUGCUGUCACUUAUAGAUGGAUCAGCGCUGCAUUAGCUAGUUGGUAAGGUAACGGCUUACCAAGGCAACGAUGAAUAGCCGACCUGAGAGGGUGAUCGGCCACACUGGAACUGAGACACGGUCCAGACUCCUACGGGAGGCAGCAGUAGGGAAUCUUCGGCAAUGGGCGAAAGCCUGACGGAGCAAUGCCGCGUGAGUGAUGAAGGUCUUCGGAUCGUAAAACUCUGUUAUUAGGGAAGAACAUAUGUGUAAGUAACUGUGCACAUCUUGACGGUACCUAAUCAGAAAGCCACGGCUAACUACGUG
RNAcentral lists this ribosomal RNA (497 nucleotides) under uncultured bacterium. RNAcentral describes it as "partial 16S ribosomal RNA". It matches the Rfam family "Bacterial small subunit ribosomal RNA", at positions 28 to 507 of the family's 1533-position model. The record is from RNAcentral.